CAUUUUGAUUGGACGGCCAGGGAAGUAAAAUGAGAAAAUCGAAGUCACUUACCGAUGAAACAGGCUAUAUUUUAGGGGUAGUGUGUAAGCUUUUAAUCUUUUAUUUUUAAAAACUUAACCGGUUACACUCAACCGGUUAUUUUACUCAAUCAACCGAAACGUUCAUCUUCUCCAUACUCUGCUCAUUUCUUCCGAACUCAACCCUUUCUCCACCUUCAUCUUCCUUAUUUUUUUUUUCAGUUUAAUAUACUCUGGUGGAGGCUUGAGGAGUUUUACACUCGGUACCUGGAACCAGAGCUCGAGAGCAUCAUUGGACUUCCAAGUUGAUAAAUGCUGAGAGUUUUUGGGUGCCUUAGGAUUAAAAUGCUGUUCAAAUGAUGCUACUUUGUCCAGGGUUAAGUACUCUAUCGAUGGUCUGCCACAUUGGAAAAAAUGAAGAUUGAAAAUACCCAAUUGGAGGCCUUACUUUGAGAGCAAAAUAGGCUUCAACACGCUGGGAUGCAGAAAGAGCUCGCUGGAAAGUGGAGGGCUGCUUUAAAUGCUGGCUCAUACCAGUAAGUCUGAGAAGGAGAAAGUUGUUGAUAAAUCUUCCCCUUGUAAGUCUCUGAAGCAGAAAGAGGAGAAUUGAGAUAGCAAGACUAAACAGAAGAAGCACAAGGAUGUGGCACAACCUUCUGGUCAUAUUGACAGGGAGAAGUCUAUGGUUGAUGAACUUGGUGUGGAGGUUGACUCGCAUGACACUGUGAGCUGAUCUUCAUUCGAAUGGGUGGUUAGGAUAGUGAAUACCCUGUCUGAGGAUCAAAAGUCCAUGGUUGUCAAGGUUUGAUUCAAUUCCUAUCUAAGUUUAAACUUUCCAAGUGUGUACCACCCACUAGUUCAUUGGCUGGUUCAGAGGGUUGAUGUGGGUUGCAACUUCAUAAAGUUGUAUGGCAAGAGAAUCCCAAUGUCGGCUAGGAUUUUUCAACGAGUCAUGGACAUUCCAGAUGGAGAUUUGGCGAUAGACCUUCAAGAGAAGGUCCCCAAAAUAGAGUUGAAGGCUAAGAUCUUCGCUGGCAGCAUUAGAAUCCAAUUGUCGAUUUUGGAGAGAAAUCUUGUGAAUUAUGAAGAAGCUGAUGAAUAUUUCAUGGCCAGCUUCAUCCUUGUCAUCAUUGGCAGCAUCUUGGUCCCUGGUUUUGGACCGGAGAUUCGUACUAGUUACAUAAAUGCGGUUAGCGAUCCCACCAACAUUCGACAUCACAACUGGGUUGCCCACGAGUAUAGUGCCCUCAUGAAAUCCAUCGAAAAGUAUCAAGCUAGUCGUAUGCAUCAUAUAAAUGUAUGCACUAUUUUUCUUCAGGCUCCUGGAAAUACAGUUGAGGAGGCUAGUUUAAACAUGGACAAUUUAACAAAACUACAAUGUCAAAAGGCAUCCUUGGUGGCACUAGUUGAGGGGUUACUUGAGGCAGUUAGCCUUGUGAUUUCGCGGGAGAUUAAGCUCAUCAUUGCUGAUAAAGUGGUAGGGGAUGCCCAUUCAAAAUAGGGUGCCGAUAUUGGGAAAGAAAGUGUUGGUCGAGGUAGUGAGGAUGCAGACAUUCCACCCGUCAUGGACUUGACUCAUGUUGUGGAGAGUACAUGUGUUCAUAAUGAGCAAUAAGAACAUUAGGUAGAACUGAAGAAAUGGGGCACCGUUGGUUAUGAGAUGCUUGAGUCCAGUGAAGGCCUUGUAGGGUCUUUCAAUCUAUUUUCCUCUAUAUCAAUGCAGAUAUUUGAAUUGGCAGAGUUCAUGUAUGUAGUAUGCCAUUAUGACCAACUUAUAUUUGAUCGAGAAUGCAUGAGGUCAAUGGAGUCUCAGAAAAGGGUGCAGCCAGAGUUAUAACAUGCUAUAAGCUUCUUCAGGAGACUUAAUUUAAAGUAAUAUAAUCUCUAUAAUAAGAUAAAUAUAUAUUUUUUUCCAAAUAAUUUCAGCAUAUGCGCAGAUUAUGACAUUCAAGGAGUGCAAGAAAUACGAAGAUGAUUCCUCUCCUUUGGUUUGGUUCAUACCAGCAAAAAUCUCAGUAAGCUUAUGCUACUUUGGAGAAUAAAGCAUCUUAUGGUAAAAAAGCUUUUGAUAGUCAUCCUUCUUAUAUAAGGCAAAGCAUGAAUCAAUUAUGGCAGCCCUCCUUGGCCUUCACUUACAGGAUUUCCUUUUCAUUACCAUGCUAAAGUACCGAAAAAGACUUUCCACUCACUUCCUUUCAUUUGUGAUUUCCUUUACCGACACAUGCUCAAUAUUGGGUAGCGCUUCUUAUCUGGAAAUCCAUUCACACUUCAAGCUUAAACUAAUAAAGAAAUGGCAUAUAUUACUUUUAUGCAUGAAGCUUUGUGCCUUUGGUUGUCAUAAACAUGUAAUUUUAUCUAACAUUUUUCCACAGCAAAACAUCUUGGACCCAAAUAACCUAUUCAUCGGGUUGCGUUUGUUAAGAACUGGAAGGUAUUUCACAGUGGUAAUUUCCAAACAUGCCGAGAGGCUAGUUUAUGAAUUUUGGAAUAGUGGAUGAACAUGAAUGCAGUUGGAAUACUUAAGUAUAAUAUUAGGUAACUUGUCAAUGAAUUUAAAUGCAGUUGUUAGUCCCGCUAUCCCUGACGAAGGGUCCCCUGUCACUAAUUGUUUCAUGUUGAGGAUCAAUAUUGGGGUGAAGGCAGUGAAAAUUUGGGACCCUAAGUAUACUAAAGAGGGAAAGGAAGAUAAAAUAGAUUAUGCAAAAGAAGUGGUAUGUUUAUAUAUAUAUAUAUAUAUAUAUAUAUAUAUAUGAAGUAGUAGGAUACUGAAUGAAGAAUGUAAACCUCUCAAUUCUUGGUCAUGAAACAAAAACCUAUUUGAUAUAGAGGAUCGAUACAAAUAUUAAAGGAAAGUACUUAUGUUCAACCUAACUGUUGACCACAAUUUUGGCCAACUGCGAGUAGACGCAGAAACGACAAUAAACCUUGAGUUGGUAACACAAAUAAUUUUUAUAGUGGUUCAGCCCCAGUUUGUUGGUAAUAGCCUAAUCCACUUAGAGUUGUGAUAUAUUUAACCAAUACUUAAGAUCAGAUGAACCUUAGUCAACUAAGUUUCUCAAGUAUAAGUAGAAAAAUAUAGUGUUUCCCUCUCUGAACUCUUAGAAAAUGCUCCUAGAAUGCCCAAAGUAAUGAUCACAAAGUCUCCAAACUAGAAAGUUUUCUUUCAAUCCCCAGAUCUUCCUAAAUGAUGCCACAAGCCAUUUAUUUAUAGGCUCAUGGAUUGUACAUGAGAAAUAUCCUGUUUGAUGGGGUCCUUUGUUGUUCCAACCAACUUUAAUUAAUAAAAUAUACAUAAAUUCAAAUUACAACAAUAUAGCUAUUACUUCGGGAUAUCUGAGAGAUUCCCGCGGCAGUUAAGGGUGAUUUGGGUUGAAGCUGUUACUGAGGCUUUACUAAAGAGUCACUGGACGGUUAACUCCUGAGAUUCUGAUCCAUCCGGUUGACUAAAUCCAUUCCCCGAAGUGACUGGCCGGCAAAAACACAUUACUGGUUGGCCAAGACACCUCACUGGUCGGGCAAAUCACUUCUGACCAUUAAUAUCACAACUCCGCAAGUCAACUCCCAACAUUUUCACUUCUUUAGUCAACACAUUUAUUGACUAUUAAUGUGUCAUUUACUGACCAUGCAUUACCACUUGUUUAUCCGAUUGCCAUGUCAUUGAACAAAAUUAUUGGGGAUAACAUUUGCCCCCCAAGUUUAUUAUAUAAUUUUCUCAUAUGAUAAACUUUUCCUACUUCUCGUAAGGAUCUGCAGUAAAUUUAAUAAUUACUGUGUCCUAAAAUUCCAAAAAUGACCAUUGGCAUCUUCUCGCCUUUUGCAAAUAAAGGUAUAAUUAAAAUUUUCAGCCAUGAAAAUGGCAGUUACUCGUUUCCAAUCAUUGGAGAGAGAAUACCAAGAGUCUUCAGGGAAAGUGGGAGUUUCCUUUUCUCUUCCUUUCUCUCCUUUAAAUAGACCCACGGAUGCCCACUACUCAUAAGCAAGAAUUUCAUCGUCAACAACACUCUCCUUUCUCUUGGUCGAAACCUCCACAAAUUUCCAAUGCACUUCAACUUCUCCAAGCAAAUCCAAGCUUUCUCAAGAAAUCAAAGGCUCUUCAAUACAUUUGGGUAAGAUUCUCCUUCUUCAUCUUUAUCUUUAAGCUUUUUAAACUUUAAAAAUCAACACAAAAACUUGUUAGAACACACACAUGCCGAAACCCCUUUUGAAAUAUCUUCUUGGAUUUUUUGUGAUAAAUCUUUGUAGAAUAGAGACUUUGUGGCUGAUAUAGUGUAGUUUGGGCUUUAGGUUAGCCAAUUUUUCCAUCAAUUUUAUGAAAUUUUGAAAGAAAAAUGUUUUCCCAUCACACAUUGUAGUUUCAGGUUCAUGGGUUUAAGAAGAGCAUAUGGUUUUUUCUUGAGACUUGUUGAACUCAUAGAAUUCCACUUUUUGAUCUUGUUUGCAUAGUCCAAGAUCAAGAAAAUAUGUUUAUACAUCAAGCUAUGCUCCAUACCCUUUAGCCCAUCAAACUUGUUUCUUUUGCCACACCUAGCCGAUCGGACCCCUGUUUGGCCCUCGUGUGUUUUUUCUCCUAGCUGCUCGGACACACAUCCUUGCUCCUUGGACGCCCAGCUCCUCGGACAUGCCCAGCUCUUUAGACACACCAGCUCCUUGAACAUGCUCAGCUCCUCGAACAUGCUCCUAGCCGCUUGGGCACCGCACAGCUGCUCGGACACACACCUGAAUGCUCGGACACACACCAAAUCACUCGGACACACCAGCUCCUUGGAUACGCCAGCUCCUCAGAUACGCCCAACUCCUUGGACACGCGUAGCUCCUCGGACAUGCUCCCAGCUGAUCAGACACACACUUGAAUGCUCGGACACACACCAAAUCACUCGGACACACCAACUCCUCAGAUACGCCAGCUCCUCGGACAUGCCCAACUCCUCGGACACGCCCAGCUCCUCGGACAUGCUCCCAGCCGCUCGGGCAUCGCACAGCCGCUCGGACACACACCCGGUUGCUCGGACACCACCUUAGGCCUUAUACCCCUGAACACCACACGACAUUCGAAACUAUUUGAUUGUCUUUUCUCUGAAUCUCUCAAAAUUACUAUUAUUUCCCAAAAAGGCCUUUAUCUGCAGAAAAUUGAUUUCUCUUCUCAAAGAAAAUUUUUCACUGAGUAGUGUAUAUUUUUGUUUUUUCAUUCACUUUCUGUUUGGUUUACUCACCUCCCCUUGACUACAGGGGAGGUGACAACCAAACAGACUCCGACUCCUCAGUUCCUGCUUCAAGGGACACUAUUCCGAGCAGUGAUUCUUCUUCUAAAUCCCCCAGCAAACGAACUCCUGAAGACCGCCUCCGUCACCUCAAGAAAAUCCUUAUGCGGUCAGCUUUAUAUUUUCUUCACAAAGAUAAGUUCCUUAAGCAACAACACCAGCACCAACCGAUGAGGGUGAAGAAGUCUAAUCGACUCCCUCAAGAACAAGAUCCCCAAGUUGCUCAUAGAGAAACACAAAAGAUGGUAGAAUGAGUACCCUGUGUGGGAGAAAAUUUAUUAGGAGAAGCCGAGACUAAAGCUUCCUCAAAACCACCUCGCCAAGCUCGAAAAACUGGAAAACCCAAGAGAAAGGUUACCCAAGCAUUCGCCAUAGAAAUCAAACAAACUGCUACACUUAGGCUGAGGAAAGAUGAAGAUGGUGUGCCUUCCUGGUUUGUAGCUAAGCCUUCUAAACUACAUUCCAAAAUGUUUGAUAAGCAUAUCGAGACUUUGGUUCUCGAAGGAGUGAAUGUGAUAUGUCCACACCCUAACCAAAGAGCCAAUAAUCCUGGUGGAGCCUAUUGUGCCUGGUCCAAGUAUCACAUUUAUGCAGGAGCCACAAUCCCCUUGCAUCCCUUUUUUAGAUCAAUAGCAGAUUACUUCAAUGUGUCUCCCUUCCAGAUUGCUCCAAAUGGUGUAAAAGCCUUGUCUACUCUAUACAUUCUCUACCACUUUCAAGGUUGGAACCUGCCUAUCCCUCACGAGAUACACUAUUUGUUCGAUUUUAGGACUAACCCCAGUCACAAGAAUACAGGUUUUUUUCACCUCUUUUAUAGGCAAAAAGGGGUUAAGUACCUUCAUGGUAUAGCCCAUAAAUUGAACCUUGGGAAAUAUUAUUCAGAAUACUUCCUUACUACAGACAUUAAAGCCAACAACCUGGCUUUUACACAUGCCGACCCUUUUGAUCAAUCUCUCCCAACUAGGGAAAUGCAUGCUUAAGCAGAAGAACUUGCCAACAUGCCUCUAGAUGAAAAAGAUGUUGAACAGUUGGUCUCCUUGGAGAAUCUCCGCUUAGUGGGAUUGUUACCGAACAACCAAGAUAUUGUUGUUGGUAGUACGACUAAUGACACUAACACAACUGAUGAGUCUAAUGUCGAUACUGAAGUAGUGACCGACCAGUUUUCUCCUAUUCCAUCCCCUCAUCCACGCCGACCAGGUGGUCCCAUUAUUAGAGAGCCUCAUUUUGAAAAUCCUCACCGACCCGCCUUUCUCGUUAGGCUUGGCAAAGACAAAAGUAUCGAGCUCUUUAGAGAAGACAACUCAUCGCCGUAGGACGAGGACGAGGACGUGGAUGAGUUUUUUAACAAAAUUCUGAACUCAGGUUUUGCUGACAGUAACCAUAAUUGGAUUUUGUGAUGAUUCUGUUGAAUUUUAUUUUUUACCUAUGUUCAUUUAUUGUUUCUACUAACCCAAUUUUUGCUUUACUUUUAUGUAGAUCUGACCAUGUUCAAGCAAUUCAACACCCCCUCUGCCCAAAAGAGGAAGACUGGUGAAGGUAACAACUCAACUCCUCCGAGCAAGGUUAUAAAGACUAUGCCACAUAGCCAGGGAAAACCAUCCGACCAGUCAGUCAUUCUCCCACGUUUGGCUCCUUCGUCAAUUCCCUUUUAUGCUAGUCUACAAACUACUUUGUCAACUUGCUUAAGUGAGCCUCUUCGCGUCAUUGGUGAAUAUGACAAAGAGUUACUGGACCAUACUCUUCACCAUGCAACUACAACUCAAACCUUUGAGACUCUACCUCGACAAAGCGUCGAAGUUGUCCUCCACAAAGGCCUUGCUCAAAUCAUGAGUGGACUUAUCACUGUUAGUCAUGCCCAACGCCGAGCAGACGACUAUAAAGAGUUGAUCAAGGUCUUGAAUGAUCAGUUGGUGGAAGCCCAAGCUAUGAUUGGAACUUUGACUAAAUCUGAGAAAGAUCUUCAAUCCAAGGCUGAGCAGGCAGAGAAGACAAUUGCUGAGCGAGACAGAUCUCUAAGGGAGUUGGCUGAUGAAAAUAAAAAAUAGAUCCAAACCAACAAGACGUUGACCGACCGGCUAGAGAAAAUGACUCAUGAGAAUGAAGAGUUGAAACAAGACAAAGAAGCUGAUCUUGCCCGUUAUGAAGAGAUCUAUUUCAACUGCUUCUAUUAGAUAUGGAAGCUAAACAAGCCCCUCAACCUCGACUUUCUCUCAGAGAGGCAAGGGCGGAAGAGCUUGCCAAAUGUCAGGCCAGGGCCGCCGAGGAGGCAGCUAAUCCAUAUGGUGUUGUGCCUGCUUCUCCUGCUCUAUCAUUUCAACAAGAGGAUGUCCCUGAUGCUGAGGACAGUGUUGACCAACCAGGCAACAGUCUACCCGACCAGUGAGCAUUUUGGGCCGACCAGAGAGCAUGCUCAACUUGACUAGUGAAAAUCUUGUUUCUAGUCAGUAGUUUAUUUCUUUUUCUCAUACUUUUGUGAAGACAAUUACUGCUCAGUAGUUAUUAUAUUUUUCUUGUACGACCGAGCUACCUGAAACUUUACUUUACUU
This is an RNA transcript of Humulus lupulus (European hop), 7822 nucleotides long. RefSeq lists it as uncharacterized. The transcript is spliced from 7 exons. NCBI's taxonomy places the organism in Eukaryota, Viridiplantae, Streptophyta, Magnoliopsida, Rosales, Cannabaceae. The record is from RefSeq and is a predicted model, not a curated record.